GAUGAACGCUGGCGGCGUGCUUAACACAUGCAAGUCGAGCGAGUGAGUUCUUCGGAACGAUCUAGCGGCGGACGGGUGAGUAACACGUGGGCAACCUGCCUCAUAGAGGGGAAUAGCCUCCCGAAAGGGAGAUUAAUACCGCAUAACAUCGUUGAAGGGCAUCCUUCGAUGAUCAAAGGAGCAAUCCGCUAUGAGAUGGGCCCGCGGCGCAUUAGCUAGUUGGUGAGGGAACGGCUCACCAAGGCGACGAUGCGUAGCUGACCUGAGAGGGUGAUCGGCCACAUUGGGAAUGAGACACGGCCCAGACUCCUACGGGAGGCGGCAGUGGGGAAUAUUGCACAAUGGGGGAAACCCUGAUGCAGCAACGCCGCGUGAGUGAUGACGGCCUUCGGGUUGUAAAGCUCUGUCUUUGGGGACGAUAAUGACGGUACCCAAGGAGGAAGUCACGGCUAACUACGUGCCAGCAGCCGCCGUAA
RNAcentral lists this ribosomal RNA (476 nucleotides) under uncultured bacterium. RNAcentral describes it as "partial 16S ribosomal RNA". It matches the Rfam family "Bacterial small subunit ribosomal RNA", at positions 28 to 523 of the family's 1533-position model. The record is from RNAcentral.